GCUAUUCUAAAAAUAUAAGAUGUUCAGCAACCAUUCAAUGAUGUUGAAAUUUGUUUUAUUUUUGGUUUUACUUGUUGUGACCGUACAAUCUAAGACUUUAAAAUUCAAAGUUUGUGGACAGGAUUUAACUGAUACAAUACGUAGAUACUGCAGUGGCAGAUAUAAUUCAAGGAUAUCAACUGAUAAGCGAACAUCGGUUGGCA
Bradysia coprophila is the source of this 203-nucleotide long non-coding RNA. The record is from RefSeq and is a predicted model, not a curated record. NCBI's taxonomy places the organism in Eukaryota, Metazoa, Arthropoda, Insecta, Diptera, Sciaridae.